This 22-nucleotide non-coding RNA is filed under the name Arabidopsis thaliana (thale cress). Lineage: Eukaryota; Viridiplantae; Streptophyta; Magnoliopsida; Brassicales; Brassicaceae. The record is from RNAcentral.
UGGUGGACGCAACAACAGUCGU